AUGGAGUGCCAUCGUACUGUUAGUUUGGUCGUGCUCGUGCUCGUGCUGCUGCUCCAUUGGCCGGCGUUGAGCUAUGCGUCGGUGCCGGUGUCGAGGACCAUCACCGUGGACAGUGAAGGGCGAGGGGAUUUCAGGAGCAUUCAGUCGGCGGUGAACCUCGUCCCGGAUGGCAACCGCGAGUGGGUCAGGAUCCACGUCCGGGCAGGGCGGUACAGGUUCGUCUUCUACAUACUAGGCAGUUCGGCAUUGCUUCAACAUGUGGUAAGCAAGUAUGGUUAUGAUGGUACAUGUGGUGCAUGCAGGGAGAAGGUGACCAUCCCAAAGAAGAAAGGCUACAUCUUGCUCGAAGGGGAGGGCCACUCGAGCACGGAGAUCUACUUUGACGACCACGCCCACGGCAGCACCGCCGGCCUGAUGCGCCGCGGCGCCGACGCGAUGCAGACGAGCCGCGUCACCCAAGCGCUCGCGGCGCUGGUCGAUGGUUACCGGAUCGCCUUCCACCGCUGUGCCUUCAGCGGCUUCGAGGACACGCUCUGCGACAACACCGGCCAGCACUACUUCCGUGAAUGCGUCAUCAAGGGCGGCGUCGACUUCAUCUUCGGCUACGCCCGGUCCAUCUACGACGGCUGCACCCUCGUGUCCAACAUACCCCGGCGGUACGGCCGCCGCCGUGCCGGGUGGGUGACGGCGCACGCCAGGGUCAACGCCAGUGACCCCGGAGGUUUUGUGUUCAAGGGCGGGGAGCUCCGAGGCACCGGGCGCCAGUAUCUCGGACGCGCGUGGAACAAGUAUGCCACUGUCGUCUACUACCACGUGAACAUGUCCAGCGUCGUCGUCCCGCAGGGGUGGGCUCCGUGGCACGCCGGCAACCAGACUAACGAUGUCCUGUUCGCAGAGGUUGGGUGCAUCGGCCCCGGGUCAGACAUGACCAGGAGAGUGCCGUGGGAGAAGCAUCUCAGCGAGGCGGAGGUGGAGAAGUUCGUGGACAUGAGCUUCAUCGACGACGGUUGGCUAGGCAAGCAGCCAUAG
Molecule: ribosomal RNA, 1029 nt
Filed under: Triticum aestivum (bread wheat)
Lineage: Eukaryota; Viridiplantae; Streptophyta; Magnoliopsida; Poales; Poaceae
Description: partial small subunit ribosomal RNA
Source: RNAcentral